UACGACUACAUAUCAGGCAUAUCAAUAAGCGGAGGAAAAGAAACUAACAAGGAUUCCCUUAGUAACGGCGAGUGAAGCGGGAAGAGCUCAGAUUUGAAAUCUUCAAGGUUCUACCUUGACGAAUUGUAGUUUAAAGAAGUGUUUUCUGUUAGAUGAGUAGCAAAAGUUCCUUGGAAUGGGACAUCAUAGAGGGUGAGAAUCCCGUAUUUGACCGUUACUUUCCAGCUGUGUGAUACACUUUCAAAGAGUCGGAUUGUUUGGGAAUGCAGUCCAAGAUGGGUGGUAAAUUUCAUCUAAAGCUAAAUAUUGGCGAGAGACCGAUAGCGAACAAGUACCGUGAGGGAAAGAUGAAAAGAACUUUGAAAAGAGAGUUAAACAGUACGUGAAAUUGUCAAAAGGGAAGCGUUUGACACCAGUGUUGUUUUUCCAAAAAUCAAUUACGAAUGGCUUGAUUUUGUGUUGUAUUGACCUUAUCAGCUUUCUGCACUUUUUUCGAGUCUUUCUUAAUGCACUUUUCGGUUAACAAGUCAACAUCAAUUUCUUUUGUUGUAAAAGAGUAUUCGGAAGGUGGCUUUCUUUUCGGAGAAAGUGUUUAUAGCCCUAUACUUCUACAAUCGGAGAGAUUGAGGUCUGCAGCGUAGAUCCUUCGGGGUUAGAUACACUUGUGCUAAGUUGUAGCUUUUCAUAGACAACUUGUUGACUAUGUUUAGUCAUGCGGCUCACUCGCUUGUGCUAUUUUACCUACGCUUAGGAUGUUGAGUAGCGACAUACGCAC
Molecule: ribosomal RNA, 775 nt
Filed under: uncultured Neocallimastigales
Lineage: Eukaryota; Fungi; Neocallimastigomycota; Neocallimastigomycetes; Neocallimastigales
Description: partial large subunit ribosomal RNA
Rfam family: Eukaryotic large subunit ribosomal RNA
Source: RNAcentral